UAAAACUUUCAACAACGGAUCUCUUGGCUCUGGCAUCGAUGAAGAACGCAGCGAAAUGCGAUAAGUAAUGUGAAUUGCAGAAUUUAGUGAAUCAUCGAAUCUUUGAACGCACAUUGCGCCCCUUGGUAUUCCGAGGGGCAUGCCUGUUCGAGCGUCGUCACA
Molecule: ribosomal RNA, 162 nt
Filed under: Salvia nemorosa
Lineage: Eukaryota; Viridiplantae; Streptophyta; Magnoliopsida; Lamiales; Lamiaceae
Description: 5.8S ribosomal RNA
Rfam family: 5.8S ribosomal RNA
About the family: 5.8S ribosomal RNA (5.8S rRNA) is a component of the large subunit of the eukaryotic ribosome. It is transcribed by RNA polymerase I as part of the 45S precursor that also contains 18S and 28S rRNA. Functionally, it is thought that 5.8S rRNA may be involved in ribosome translocation.
Source: RNAcentral